GUCCGUCGCCAACCAGUGGAGGAGACACCUGUGCCAAUGAUUUAUGGGGGCCCUAGACAGGGGCAAGAUAGGUGGGCUGGCCCAGAAGCGGGCAGGCAGCAGCCCACUUAUACAAGAGAACAGUUGCAGCGUGCCAUUCUGCUCCUGCGGGUGGUGGUCCACCUCUUAGUGGACCACUUUUUUAAUUUACUUUUAAG
Long non-coding RNA from Pseudophryne corroboree (corroboree frog), 197 nucleotides. RefSeq lists it as uncharacterized. NCBI's taxonomy places the organism in Eukaryota, Metazoa, Chordata, Amphibia, Anura, Myobatrachidae. The transcript is spliced from 3 exons. The record is from RefSeq and is a predicted model, not a curated record.